RNAcentral lists this long non-coding RNA (1164 nucleotides) under Phoenix dactylifera (date palm). RNAcentral's name for it is "long non-coding RNA (PDAC_LNC015611)". Lineage: Eukaryota; Viridiplantae; Streptophyta; Magnoliopsida; Arecales; Arecaceae. The record is from RNAcentral.
CAUCGCCGAGCCUUCGUCCGAGCCGCUCCCAUCCAGCUCUCAUCCGCGAACAGGGACACCCCUGUGUGCCAGGCUGCCAGCCGAGAGGUGCAUCAGGCCACAUCCGAGCCCGACCGGCCUGGCCCAGUUGUCCUCAGCAGGCCGCCAGCCUAGCCCGUGCGCCAUACUGUAGCGCGGUCCAAGCCCAAUCAGCCGCAGACCCUGUUUCAGGCCCGAUCUAGCCAUUUUUCAGCCCACUCCAGGAGCCCCUUGUGCUGCAGAUCCAGGACCACGGCUCCAGCUAGUUUCACUCGGCGCCAACUUCGUGCUCGAGACUUUACAACUUCCGGUUGACUGUAUCCACCAUCAGGUAACAGGUUGUUCUUUCUUUUGGGCUUGUUUAUCUAAUUAUGUUCUAGUUCUCUUGCAUGACGGUCCUAUUUUGAAAACUUACUUUCCUGUCAAACUGCAAAACCUAGAACAUUUACUACCACACCCAUCAUACCCACCAUUUAAAUCUAAAUAUUAAAUUAGCACACUUUGGCAACAGGAUAAUUCUCAAUAUCCGUCGAUCAGAUUACUUUAGGAUUAGAACGACUGUAAUACGUGCUUGCAACCUAAUUUCUCAUAGUGAUUAAUUUUCUACUUUAACUCUGAAAUAACCAAAGUACAAAUUAGUAAUAUUUAAUUUUAAGUUAUCUUUGUGAAAAUUUGUUGAUUUCCGAAUUUAUAGUAGAUUGCAGUAGUAGGUUGUCUUGCAUUGCAUUUGGUAAGUUAGGGUUCAUUAGUAGCAUUGCAUAUCAUAUCACCAACUAGAGUAGUCCCUGCAUGCCAACCCGUAGUGGUAGAGAGUACCUCCUCACUGACUCUCAGACCCCUUACCCACCAUGGACCCCAGCGUUCUACAAGAUAUUUUGGGACAAUUAGCUGCAUUACGAGCUGAUCGUGACGAAUUCAAACGAGAGAUCCGUGUUCUAGUGCAACACCCUAGGACUCCUGAACCGUCAACCCCAAUUGCAGCUUAUCCCGAGCUUGGUUUGACCACACCACCUAUAGCUUUUCCCCAUCCCCCUAGGAACCAACCUCCUCCUGAUCACCAGCGCGAUCUUGAUGAGCGACUACUUCGUACCGUACGAGUAGAUGUCCCCACAUUUGCUGGUCAAUUAGAGCCGAGUGUGUACCUUG